CGAAGAACAACACUAUUCCAGUAUUAAGGCGACUGCAGCACUCGAGGUGAUGACCUGGGGUUACGAUUCACCCCCAGGCAGUAUCUUGGGGCGCCGCGCUCCGUCAGGUGACAGGGGCCCCUCUUGAGUGCUUGUGUGGGUAAGGUGACGCGCGGUUCCUCAGCCUCCGGGAGCAGCAAUGCAGACACUUACGGGCUGUACCGCGUCCCAGCACGUUCAGUGGACACCAGGAAAGGAGAGGGGCGGGAGGACGUGGAAGACCCUCGAAGCAGAGAACAGAGCCGCCACUCCAUCACAAACGCCACUUCCACCACGUUCAUCUCCUCCCACUGAGCCACUUGCAGCCCCACUGAUAAUCCGGUGAGAGAUGGGCCCGGAAAAAAAAGAGCACGUUUAAUUAGAUUACUGAAAAAAAGAACUCAUGGUAGGAAUGAGCAGGAUAAAAAAUGUAAACAGU
Long non-coding RNA from Scylla paramamosain (green mud crab), 457 nucleotides. RefSeq lists it as uncharacterized. The transcript has 2 exons. NCBI's taxonomy places the organism in Eukaryota, Metazoa, Arthropoda, Malacostraca, Decapoda, Portunidae. The record is from RefSeq and is a predicted model, not a curated record.